Molecule: ribosomal RNA, 1401 nt
Filed under: marine metagenome
Description: bacterial LSU rRNA
Rfam family: Bacterial large subunit ribosomal RNA
Source: RNAcentral
GAGCGCCGACAAUGUAACGGGGCUUAAGCAUGGUACCGAAGCUAAGACAUUUUGUUUACAAAAUGGGUAGGGGAGCGUUCUGUUUUCAUUGAAGUCAGAGGAGUGAUUCCUGGUGGAGGAAACAGAAGUGAGAAUGCCGGAAUGAGUAGCGUAAUUCAGGUGAAAAACCUGGACGCCGAAAGCCCGAGGUUUCCUACGUAAAGUUAAUCUGCGUAGGGUUAGGCGGGCCUAAGUCGAGGGCGAAAGCCGUAGACGAUGGACAGCAGGUUAGUAUUCCUGCCCCACCAAAGGCGUGUUAUGCAAAGGGAUGACCCAGGAGGAUAGGUGUAUCGAACCAAUGGACAUGGUUCGUUCUUUAAUCGUAGGCGUCUGAGAGCAGGCAAAUCCACUCUCAGGUUAAGCGGAGGAUUAGAGAGAAGUGGAGACGUCAGUCAAAGCGACUAUGCUGAAUCCAUGCUGGCUAGAAAAGUCUCGUUGUUAAUGCUUUUGGUGUCCGUACCGUAAACCGACACUGGUGGGCGACGAUAAGUAUCGUAAGGCGAUCGAGAGAACCUUCGUUAAGGAACUCGGCAAAUUAGCUCCGUAACUUAGGGAUAAGGAGCGCCUUUAAUGGUGAUCAAACUUGCUUUGUGAGCUAUUGAAGGUCGCAGUGAGCAGGCUCAGGCGACUGUUUAACAAAAACACAGGUCUCUGCUAACCAGAAAUGGGAUGUAUAGGGGCUGACGCCUGCCCAGUGCCGGAAGAUUAAGGGGAUUGCUUAACGGCUUGAACUUAAGUCCCGGUGAACGGCGGCCGUAACUAUAACGGUCCUAAGGUAGCGAAAUUCCUUGUCGGGUAAGUUCCGACCCGCACGAAUGGCGUAACGAUCUGAGCACUGUCUCGACGAAGGACUCGGCGAAAUUGCAUUGUGCGUGAAGAUGCGCACUACCUGCAGCUGGACAAAAAGACCCCGUGGAGCUUUACUGCAACUUGGCGUUGGAGGCUGGCCGUUGAUGCGUAGGAUAGGUGGGAGGCUUUGAUUUAAUGGUUUCGGUCAUUAAUGAGCCGUUGGUGAAAUACCACUCUUCUGCGUUUAUCCUCCUAACUUGUGUGCAAGCAUGAGAACAGCGUCUGGUGGGCAGUUUGACUGGGGCGGUCGCCUCCCAAAGAGUAACGGAGGCGUGCAAAGGUUCCCUCAAGGUGGAUGGCAAUCACCUUUUGAGCAUAUUGGUAUAUGGGAGCUUGACUGCGAGACAGACACGUCGAGCAGGGACGAAAGUCGGCCAAAGUGAUCCUACGGUUCUGUGUGGAAGGGCCGUGGCUUAUCGGAUAAAAGCUACCCCGGGGAUAACAGGCUUAUUCUGCCUAAGAGUUCAUAUCGACGGCAGAGUUUGGCACCUCGAUGUCGGCUCGUCGCAUCCU